Long non-coding RNA from Onychomys torridus (southern grasshopper mouse), 1316 nucleotides. RefSeq lists it as uncharacterized. The record is from RefSeq and is a predicted model, not a curated record. The transcript has 3 exons. NCBI's taxonomy places the organism in Eukaryota, Metazoa, Chordata, Mammalia, Rodentia, Cricetidae.
CCUCUCACACAUCACAGGGCUGUGAACCCUCUAGCACCACACAGGGGGGUCUCCAAAGAAGCAGUGGCCACUAGCAUUCAUUACUAAUAACAUAUAUUAGGAAGGCCAGGCAUGGUGGCACAUGCUUUUAAUCCCAGCACCGGGGAGGCAGAGGCAGGUAGAUCUCUGUGAGUUUGGAAAUGGGAUUCACUUCACAGAAAGCCCUCUCUGAGCCUUGACUUCUCCAUCUGGAUUUCAGAGGCUUAGAUUUGACCAUUGGCUUUCAGAUAUUUGGACUCCCAGGCUCUGUUUCAGGGCCCCGGAGACCUGUCUCAGGUGUCUGCGCAGCAGCAUCCUCUGGGGCUACACUGUCUCCAAGCACUUUGCAAACAAAGGGGGUGGUGACAAGAGAGUGAAAUAGCCAGAAGCUCCCAAGAACCCUCUCCUCCAUCCUUGCCCUCCCUCUUCGAGCUACAGCCCAGAACUCUAUCUCUCUCUCCAGUGACCUAGAUGAGAAGACACUGUGUCCUGUGAAUCACCCAGGCAGUGAGCAGCCCGGGAAGACCUGGUUGGGGCCUGCCUCAGCCACACGCCCCCACCCUCAUUCUCUCUUCACGUCAACCACAGUUCUGGAACAAAACCAGCUGAUUUUGUUUCUGGCCCAGAGCACAAGCUGUUCUCUGCCUGGAGUGUCCUAAAGUUCACCUGCCUACAGAAAACUCUCCCUUGUGGUUCUGAGUGGUCGUCUCCCCUGAAAUUCUUCCUCAGCACUGUCUUCCUCUAUGGUUAAGCUGGAGUGCUCCUGUCCAGGGUCCUGGAGGGCCUGUCUCUGCAGAUGGCAAUUGUUGGCCACCACUGGCUCGUCCCCAGAGAAGCAUGCCUGGCAGCUGUACAGAGAGGCAGAGGCACACCAUAGGAAGACUGGAGCACGGUACCUGGCAGGCAGCAAACGCUCGGCAUUUACUGAGUAAUCAAUCUAUGCCAGGCACUGUGCCAGGUGCUAAGGACCCCACAGCAAGAGAGACCCACUUCCUGCCUGCUUGCAGCUCACAAUGAAUCCACGAGGCUUCCCCUUCCUUCCUGCUCACCUCCUUUCCACCCCCAUUUCUUUUCCAACCCAAACCCUCGUCAGUCUUCACAGACCUCAGCCAAUGCAUUCACACAGCACCAGACAGCAUGACGACACAGCAGGAGGGUCAUGUGACAUCUAUGUGCUUUGAGACUUCUCCCUGGAAGUGGUCUUCAAACAGGCCCACAGCUGAGUCCCUGCCCAGCUGCAGUGCUGGGGCCUGACAAGUUACUUGCAUUCUUGGGGUCCCAAUUCCCUUUUCUUUAAA